GGCAAAUCCGGCACUCUUAAGAUUGAGCUGUGAUGGGGAGAGGAACUUGUUCCUCGAGUCGUUGAUUUCACACUGCCGAGAAAAGCCUCUAGCUAGAAUAACGGUGCCCGUACCGCAAACCGACACAGGUAGUCAAGAUGAGAAUUCUAAGGUGAGCGAGCGAACUCUCGUUAAGGAACUCGGCAAAAUGACCCCGUAACUUCGGGAGAAGGGGUGCUCUUUGAGGUUCACGCUUCGAAGAGCCGCAGUGAAUAGGCCCAAGCGACUGUUUAUCAAAAACACAGGUCUCUGCUAAACCGUAAGGUGACGUAUAGGGGCUGACGCCUGCCCGGUGCUGGAAGGUUAAGAGGAGUGGUUAGCGCAAGCGAAGCUACGAAUCGAAGCCCCAGUAAACGGCGGCCGUAACUAUAACGGUCCUAAGGUAGCGAAAUUCCUUGUCGGGUAAGUUCCGACCCGCACGAAAGGCGUAACGAUUUGGGCACUGUCUCAACGAGAGACUCGGUGAAAUCAUAGUACCGGUGAAGAUGCCGGUUACCCGCGACAGGACGGAAAGACCCCGUGGAGCUUUACUGUAGCCUGAUAUUGAAAUUCGGUACAGUUUGUACAGGAUAGGUAGGAGCCUUAGAAGCGUGAGCGCUAGCUUACGUGGAGGCAUUGGUGGGAUACUACCCUAAUUGUAUUGGAUUUCUAACCCGCAGCACUUAUCGUGCUGGGAGACAGUGUCAGGCGGGCAGUUUGACUGGGGCGGUCGCCUCCUAAAGAGUAACGGAGGCGCUCAAAGGUUCCCUCAGAAUGGUUGGAAAUCAUUCAUAGAGUGUAAAGGCAUAAGGGAGCUUGACUGCGAGACCUACAAGUCGAGCAGGGUCGAAAGACGGACUUAGUGAUCCGGUGGUUCCGCAUGGAAGGGCCAUCGCUCAACGGAUAAAAGCUACCCCGGGGAUAACAGGCUUAUCUCCCCCAAGAGUUCACAUCGACGGGGAGGUUUGGCACCUCGAUGUCGGCUCAUCGCAUCCUGGGGCUGUAGUCGGUCCCAAGGGUUGGGCUGUUCGCCCAUUAAAGCGGUACGCGAGCUGGGUUCAGAACGUCGUGAGACAGUUCGGUCCCUAUCCGUCGUGGGCGUAGGAAAUUUGAGAGGAGCUGUCCUUAGUACGAGAGGACCGGGAUGGACAUACCUCUGGUGUACCAGUUGUCGUGCCAACGGCAUAGCUGGGUAGCUAUGUAUGGACGGGAUAAGUGCUGAAAGCAUCUAAGCAUGAAGCCCCCCUCGAGAUGAGAUUUCCCAACUUCGGUUAUAAG
RNAcentral lists this ribosomal RNA (1296 nucleotides) under Staphylococcus pseudintermedius. RNAcentral describes it as "partial 23S ribosomal RNA". It matches the Rfam family "Bacterial large subunit ribosomal RNA", at positions 1535 to 2832 of the family's 2925-position model. The record is from RNAcentral. Lineage: Bacteria; Bacillati; Bacillota; Bacilli; Caryophanales; Staphylococcaceae.